UAUAGAAGUCGGACAGACGAUUAGGUAAUAAAGAUAUAUAGCGUGAGACGAGCGGGAAGCAGCAAACAGACAGAUAAUAGCGAAAGGAAAUAUAGUUGGCGUGAAGUUAAGUACCUCAGAAGUGAUAGACCUAACGACUGACGUGGUUCUAAAGUAAUUGAAUCAGCCUGAGUGCACUUUGACAAAAGGAACAGAGGAUCUUCAGAAGAAAGAAGACCUAACGAUUACGGUGACUCGCGCCACCAUUAAGUGGCAAAAGUACCUCAAAGAUCUGUCUCAAACAUGGAUCCACAACUUCCGUAUUUCUUGAACGACUACUUGUUAUCAAACAACUAUGAUCUUGAAUGUCUUAAGCCGGAAGAUGUCCUGCUAACCAUAAACGAUACCGAUUCCCUAGAAUGUACUUACUCGGAAGUUCCCAAAGAUGACUUCUCUAAAAAUUUCGGUCUGCUUCCAAUUCCGAUGUGCAAUUUUACGGAUGAUGAAGAAAUAGAAGCCUUUACCAGACUGAUGAUUACUACACAAUUACUGAAAAGCCUUUCAGCUGUUUUUCAUAUUAUCGUUAAUAAGGUUUUAUGUAUUGGAAUUUUGUUUAGCCAUCUAACUAGUGGCCAUGUUUUCU
Molecule: long non-coding RNA, 622 nt
Organism: Limulus polyphemus (Atlantic horseshoe crab)
Lineage: Eukaryota; Metazoa; Arthropoda; Merostomata; Xiphosura; Limulidae
Exons: 3
Source: RefSeq, a predicted model, not a curated record